This 245-nucleotide ribosomal RNA is filed under the name uncultured bacterium. RNAcentral's name for it is "partial 16S ribosomal RNA". It matches the Rfam family "Bacterial small subunit ribosomal RNA", at positions 28 to 269 of the family's 1533-position model. The record is from RNAcentral.
GACGAACGCUGGCGGCGUGCUUAACACAUGCAAGUCGAGCGGUAAGGCCCUUUCGGGGGUACGACGAGCGGCGAACGGGUGAGUAACACGUGGGUGACCUGCCCUUACGCUCUGGGAGUAAGCCUGGGAAACGUAGGGUCUAAUACCGGAUAUGACUCCAUGACGCAUGUUGUGGGGUGGAAAGCCUUGUGCGGCUAGGGAUGGGCCCGCGGCCUAUCAGCUUGUUGGUGGGGUGAUGGCCUACC